Molecule: ribosomal RNA, 492 nt
Filed under: uncultured bacterium
Lineage: Bacteria
Description: partial 16S ribosomal RNA
Rfam family: Bacterial small subunit ribosomal RNA
Source: RNAcentral
AGUGAACGCUGGCGGUAGGCCUAACACAUGCAAGUCGAACGGCAGCACAGUAAGAGCUUGCUCUUACGGGUGGCGAGUGGCGGACGGGUGAGGAAUACAUCGGAAUCUACUUUUUCGUGGGGGAUAACGUAGGGAAACUUACGCUAAUACCGCAUACGACCUACGGGUGAAAGCAGGGGAUCUUCGGACCUUGCGCGAUUGAAUGAGCCGAUGUCGGAUUAGCUAGUUGGCGGGGUAAAGGCCCACCAAGACGACGAACCGUAGCUGGUCUGAGAGGAUGGUCAGCCACACUGGCACUGACACACGGUCCCGACCCAUACGGGAGGCAGCAGUGGGGAAUAUCGAGCAAUGGGCGCAAGCCUGAUCCAGCCAUACCGCGUGGUUGAAGAAGGUCUUCGGGUUGUAAAGCCCUUUUGUUGGGAAAGACAAGCAGCAGGUUAAUACCCAGAUGUUCUGACGGUACCCAAAGAAUAAGCACCGGCUAACUUCGUG